AAAACGACUCUCGGCAACGGAUAUCUCGGCUCUCGCAUCGAUGAAGAACGUAGCGAAAUCCGAAACUUGGUGUGAAUUGCAGAAUCCCGUGAACCAUCGAGUCUUUGAACGCAAGUUGCGCCCCAAGCCAUUAGGCCGAGGGCACGUCUGCCUGGGUGUCACGC
This 164-nucleotide ribosomal RNA is filed under the name Anotea flavida. Its description in RNAcentral is "5.8S ribosomal RNA". It matches the Rfam family "5.8S ribosomal RNA". From Rfam's summary of the family: 5.8S ribosomal RNA (5.8S rRNA) is a component of the large subunit of the eukaryotic ribosome. It is transcribed by RNA polymerase I as part of the 45S precursor that also contains 18S and 28S rRNA. Functionally, it is thought that 5.8S rRNA may be involved in ribosome translocation. Lineage: Eukaryota; Viridiplantae; Streptophyta; Magnoliopsida; Malvales; Malvaceae. The record is from RNAcentral.